RNAcentral lists this ribosomal RNA (699 nucleotides) under uncultured marine archaeon. RNAcentral describes it as "bacterial SSU rRNA". It matches the Rfam family "Archaeal small subunit ribosomal RNA", at positions 102 to 802 of the family's 1478-position model. The record is from RNAcentral.
AGUCAACCUACCCUAUGGACGGGAAUAAUCUCGGGAAACUGAGGAUAAUGCCCGAUAGAACACUAUGCCUGGAACGGUUUGUGUUCCAAAUGAUUUAUCGCCGUAGGAUGGGACUGCGGCCUAUCAGUUUGUUGGUGAGGUAAUGGCCCACCAAGACUAUUACAGGUACGGGCUCUGAGAGGAGUAGCCCGGAGAUGGGUACUGAGACACGGACCCAGGCCCUAUGGGGCGCAGCAGGCGAGAAAACUUUGCAAUGUGCGAAAGCACGACAAGGUUAAUCCGAGUGGUUCCUGCUAAAGGAACCUUUUGACGGUCCUAAAACCACCGUUGAAUAAGGGGUGGGCAAGUUCUGGUGUCAGCCGCCGCGGUAAAACCAGCACCUCAAGUGGUCAGGAUGAUUAUUGGGCCUAAAGCAUCCGUAGCCGGCUCUGUUAGUUUUCGGUUAAAUCUGUGCGCUCAACGUACAGGCUGCCGGGAAUACUGCAGAGCUAGGGAGUGGGAGAGGUAGACGGUACUCGGUAGGAAGGGGUAAAAUCCUUUGAUCUAUUGAUGACCACCUGUGGCGAAGGCGGUCUACCAGAACACGUCCGACGGUGAGGGAUGAAAGCUGGGGGAGCAAACCGGAUUAGAUACCCGGGUAGUCCCAGCUGUAAACUAUGCAAACUCAAUGAUGCACUGGCUUGAAGCCAAUGCAGUGUU